GACGAACGCUGGCGGCGUGCUUAACACAUGCAAGUCGAACGGAAAGGCCCCGCUUGCGGGGUACUCGAGUGGCGAACGGGUGAGUAACACGUGGGUGAUCUGCCCUGCACUUCGGGAUAAGCCUGGGAAACUGGGUCUAAUACCGGGAUAGGACCCCUCUUUAGUGUGGGGGGUGGAAAGUUUUUUCGGUGUGGGAUGAGCCCGCGGCCUAUCAGCUUGUUGGUGGGGUAAUGGCCUACCAAGGCGUCGACGGGUAGCCGGCCUGAGAGGGUGGACGGCCACAUUGGGACUGAGAUACGGCCCAG
RNAcentral lists this ribosomal RNA (305 nucleotides) under uncultured bacterium. Its description in RNAcentral is "bacterial SSU rRNA". It matches the Rfam family "Bacterial small subunit ribosomal RNA", at positions 28 to 334 of the family's 1533-position model. The record is from RNAcentral.